CUAUAGCAAGUAAUAAGGAUAGAUACUGUUCAUGAAAUUCUCUCAAAUUUGUUGUAUGCAGUCACGUAUGUGUCAUUAAAUCAUGAGCAAAAUCUUUUAAGAAUAGGUCACAAUGAAAAAGUUCAGAAAAAUGUUUUAGCCAGCUCUUAAGAGAUAAUGGGCUUGUUAUGCUAUUUUGUUCAGCAACCAAGCAUACAUCCAGCACUUGCAAGCCCUUGUAAGUACUGUUUGUGUUUUAGAGGAUUUAUUCACAUACUUUUCUAGUUAUAGAAUUAAAAGCCUUUUACAGUAUUAAAAUUUAAUAAUAUAGAAUCAGGAGACUAAGAAAGGCCUUAGUACCUCACACAGUGCAUAGUGAACAAAUAUUUGCUGAAUAAAUGGAUCUGGCCGACCUCGUUAGCUGAAGGCAAGUCCACACUGAACCCCCUGUAUAGCUGGAUUUUAUCAAGUUCUGAAUAUUUCCUUCCCAGCACAUUCCAUAGGNNNNNNNNNNNNNAACCUCAAGUUUCAUUACACCUACAGACAUUUUGAGGAAAAAACACAGUAUGCAGAUAUUUUCUCUCAGAAUAUUUUAACAUUUAUUAUAUUGAAAUAUAUUUCUAUCAAUAUGUAUAUUAUAUUUUUAAAAUAAGUAUUACAGGUAGAUUCUGCUCAGACAGUUCAGCAAGAUCAGUUGAAAACAGAUUUAAACAAAUGCUUUUUAAAAACAGAUGGAAAAAUCAGGCCCUGUUAAUAGCCCUUAAGUGCUCUCACCCAGGCUGCAGAAGUUUGGCCCCUAGGGAGAGUGGCAGCUGUGACUCACACCGGGACACUCACCAUGGAAAUCAGGCCUCGGGAUCAUCCUGUAGCCAUCAAUCCUCCUCCUCCUAAUCCACCCUGAUAUUUUAUUAUUUUUUAAUUUAAAUUUAUUUUAAUUUGAGGCUAAUUACUUUACAAUAUUGUAUUGNNNNNNNNNNNNNNNNNNNNNNNNNNNNNNNNNNNNNNNNNNNNNNNNNNNNNNNNNNNNNNNNNNNNNNNNNNNNNCCCGUACCAUCCCUCCAGGUCAUCCCAGUGCAGCAGCCCCAACUCUGGUAUUUUAGAAGUAAAAUACUGAAUUGGUGUGAAGGGGCUGGCUCCUCACUACCUUGACACAUCUCUUUAAUGUGGCCCAUGAAGGCCUCCAGUGGUCAAGCCCAAAAUACCAGUCCUGGUCUUCUCUCUGUCUCACAGGAGCCCCGGAGGAGCUGAAGGGAAUGUAAAUCUCCAAUCACCUAAUCUCUUCAAAACUCAAUCCCACUCUGGUUCUUCUAAGAUAUAGAUAGGCCUCUUCCUUCACCUGACUCAGACUUAACCUUUUCAUUAAUGAAGCACCCAAGACAAAAAUUUUAACUCAAAUUUAGGUAUCUGAGCAAUCACUCAAAAGCACCCUUAAUUCAUCUCUUUUUCUGAAUCCUUAAUACAACUAAUCACUAAAAACUGCCAAUUCCUGUCUUCAAAAUAUUUCUCCUAUGUUCCCAACUCCAUUCCUACUUUCAGGUUAAUGAAAGCUAUCCAUAUUGCUCAUUUGGAUUAACAGUUAUUGCUUUCUAUUCUCUUAUACUAACAGAGUUUGCAGUGGUUUUCAGGAAUUCAGUGGGACAGAACAAUUUUUUUAAGUACACAAAAAAUAUUAAAGAAGAAAAUUUCAGAAGAUCAAAUAAGCCCGAAGUUAACACAUUGAAAAACACCAUGGAGUCUUAAACUAUUACUAAAAAUGGACUUUCAUCGAUCUUCCAAGUAAUAAGAAAGCAACCUAGUCUCAAUCACAAAAUCCAUGGUUGCCAUAACAUACAAAUUGACAAAAUGAAUUUUUCGUCUGGAGUUAUCAGACUCAUG
RNAcentral lists this long non-coding RNA (1854 nucleotides) under Capra hircus (goat). RNAcentral describes it as "lncRNA (ENSCHIG00010000689.1)". Lineage: Eukaryota; Metazoa; Chordata; Mammalia; Artiodactyla; Bovidae. The record is from RNAcentral.